UACAGAGGUCCCAAGCGUUGUUCGGAUUCACUGGGCGUAAAGGGUGCGUAGGUGGCUUGGUAAGUUCGAUGUGAAAUCUCCGGGCUUAACCCGGAAAUGGCAUUGAAUACUAUUGAGCUGGAGGUUUGGAGGGGGGACUGGAAUUCUCGGUGUAGCAGUGAAAUGCGUAGAGAUCGGAAAGAACACCAACGGCGAAAGCACUCUGCUGGGCCGACACUGACACUGAGAGACGAAAGCUAGGGGAGCGAAUGGG
This 253-nucleotide ribosomal RNA is filed under the name uncultured bacterium. RNAcentral's name for it is "partial 16S ribosomal RNA". It matches the Rfam family "Bacterial small subunit ribosomal RNA", at positions 524 to 776 of the family's 1533-position model. The record is from RNAcentral.